This 492-nucleotide ribosomal RNA is filed under the name uncultured bacterium. Its description in RNAcentral is "partial 16S ribosomal RNA". It matches the Rfam family "Bacterial small subunit ribosomal RNA", at positions 29 to 507 of the family's 1533-position model. The record is from RNAcentral.
AGUGAACGCUGGCGGUAGGCCUAACACAUGCAAGUCGAACAGCAGCACAGUAAGAGCUUGCUCUUACGGGUGGCGAGUGGCGGACGGGUGAGGAAUACAUCGGAAUCUACUUUUUCGUGGGGGAUAACGUAGGGAAACUUACGCUAAUACCGCAUACGACCUACGGGUGAAAGCAGGGGAUCUUCGGACCUUGCGCGAUUGAAUGAGCCGAUGUCGGAUUAGCUAGUUGGCGGGGUAAAGGCCCACCAAGGCGACGAUCCGUAGCUGGUCUGAGAGGAUGAUCAGCCACACUGGAACUGAGACACGGUCCAGACUCCUACGGGAGGCAGCAGUGGGGAAUAUUGGACAAUGGGCGCAAGCCUGAUCCAGCCAUACCGCGUGGGUGAAGAAGGCCUUCGGGUUGUAAAGCCCUUUUGUUUGGAAAGAAAAGCAGCAGGUUAAUACCCCGCUGUUCUGACGGUACCCAAAGAAUAAGCACCGGCUAACUUCGUG